Molecule: long non-coding RNA, 3622 nt
Organism: Hirundo rustica (Barn swallow)
Lineage: Eukaryota; Metazoa; Chordata; Aves; Passeriformes; Hirundinidae
Exons: 3
Source: RefSeq, a predicted model, not a curated record
GAGCUUGUGCAGCUCCACCCCAACCGCUCACAGGCUAGGCGUAACACGACGUGACCGUAAUAUGCAAGACGACCGUAUACAGAAAAAACAACUCUGCAUCUGAAAAGAUGCCGCCGGACGAGGCCGGACACAGGCGGGAACUGCCAUACCCAGCACACGUUCGCCUCGUGGAAUGAAUCCCACACCUCCUCUCGGCAUCAAAACAUGGCUGAUCUUAAACACCCCUCACCACUGCACUGAUUUAAAAGCACCUCGCCCGUCCCACUCAGCAGUCUCUCCACCUUACCCCUUCAGACCAUUGGUCCUUCAACUUCACCUUCAGAGGGCUGAGUGUCAGAAUCAAUCCUCAAGAAGGACAACAUCGAUUUAACUAGGAUGCUGCUGCCAUCAGCAGGGAUGGAGACUCCAACACUUUCCUAGGAGCCUGUUCCAAUGCUUAACCACUCCUUUGUGAAGAAAUUCUUCUGAAUAUCCAACCUGACUCCUGCAGUGCAACUUGAGGCCAUUUUCCCUCGUCGCGUUACUGACUGGGAGAAGACAUCUUGCCACAACCUCCUUUCAGGCAGGUCACCCGGUCAUAAAAGGAGAUCAGGUUUGGCAACAUUCCCAGAAAACGACUGAACUCCCAUGGAGAUGAAAGAGAGAGCUUUUUAAGGAGUAUGUGAGUAAGCACAACAGAUUUAAUCCUCACAAGAAAUGCCAGCUGCAAACAGAGUGAGUUCAGCUAUUGAACUGAUUUCCUCAAACACUCCAACAUGGUCUAGCCUUUCAGACUAUAUGGGCAAUGCUACUGUACAUAAAACUAUAAGGUAGAUAUAUGUAACAGAUUUAACUUUUUUUCCUGAUUUUAAACAAAGAAGGGGCAGGAAACCCAACACUUGUCAACAAAAUGCCUCUAGUAUUUUCAUGUGAUGAGGUGAAUCCUCACUAUGGCAUUAGCAUAAUUAUGUAAAAUAAACGGUAACUGCAGCAGCAUUAAAAGCUGAUUUUUUUCACACAUUCAGGUUAAGUGCACUAAACUCCUCCAUGAAAAGAAAUAAAAAUAUGAAAGGUAAAUUUAAAUUUAAAGUUAUUUAAAUUUUGUAAAUUUCCUGUUGAAAGAAGUUAUUUAGAUUGUCUUCCUCAGGAGAUUUCUUAAUUUGUUCUAAUUAUACUAUUGCAUUUUCUUCUCAAGUAGAUUUUCAGAAUUCAGUAUCACCAGUAACAGUGCAUAACACUAGUGAUUCUAGCGGAUAAAUAUUCCCAAUUACUAAGUUUGGUAUGUCAUCUUAAAACUGACUUUCCUCAAAAAAUGAAGUAAUGCUUGACAGGAUACGUGUCUCAUUUUUAUUUGGGUUCAUUGGCAGAUAAAUCUCAAACAUACAAUAUGAUUGACCUUUAUGCCUCAUUAUGAUCUGUGUCAGAAACUUAUAAAUCUUGUCCACUGUCUCCACUGAUAUCCAUUUCAAAUUCUCUAAAAAUCCUGGUGCUAGCAGUUUCAAAAUCACUAUGUGAGGACUGAAAUACAGUCCUAAAAGCUGCUCCGUUAUGAUCUUUUUUACUACCUAGACUAAACUCUCGAGUCUCGACUCGCUUUCUCAGAUUAGAUUAUGUAUCUGUUCAUUUAUUUUAACUAAGAUAAUAGAAUCAGGCAUUUGGGAAACAAGAGGUACAUCAGUUGACAUCACUAAUACAUGUUGUAAAGAAACAUUUAUAGCCAGUAUGUGACGCUUGCUAAUUUGAAAUAUUUCCAUAUAAAGAGAAACUCACCUGUCCUGCAUGUGAUUCGGAACCUGGUCUACAACCAAAUCCUCCAUCAAAGUUCAUACAGGACAAAACAAAUUCCACUGCUUUUCCCACAUUGAUAGCAUCCAGCUUUCCCUGCAAGUCAGAAAAAACCUAAUGAAAUCGAUAUUCUACCAAGCUGAUCUUCUGCAGAAACUUCAGCAGUACCAAAGAGCAGUACCAAUCAAUUGUGCAAGUGAUGGUUCAGGACUUACCAGAAGUGCAAGAGUUGCUGCAGCACAGAAAGAGAACCUUGUAUCUAUCUCUCCUGUAAUGUGGGGGGUAAGGAAUAAAAUAAGAUUAUUUUUUCAACAAACUCAUUUAAAUCACUACUGAAAAUAUGGAAUACCAUGUUAAAAUUCUAGGUGCCAUACCAAAAAACAAAAAUCAGCUAAAAAAUUUCCCCAUAAAAUUUAAUUUUCCAGCUUAUCAAUUAUUUCCCCAGUAUUUAAGUGAUCCGUAUGUUUUACUAUGCAUAAAAGUCAACAACUCAUUUAGAGCUGGACAACUAUACAUCCAAAUCAAUUCAGAUAGCGGUAAUUUACAAACAACUGUUUAAUUUUAGAGUUUAUCUGUAGUGCUCUACAGAUAAUUGAAGAGCAAUGGAAAUAAUGCAAAAAUUAUCUGAUGACUCUUGCUCUGCUUUAAAUCCAGCCAGAAGCAGAGGCUAUUUAUUGUUUUAGGGGAAAUCUAGUUAAGGUUACAAGGUUUCUUUUGCAUAUUUGUACCUGGAAGAAAAAUCAAAGCCCCUACAUCUAUAACAAAAGGACUGCCUGUCAAGUCCAAUACAACUCUUGUAGCACAAACUUCAGGCAACUAAUACUCGAAGUCACAAUUUAAAACUGAACUGAGCUGUAAACAUUCAGUUUCUUGGUCGAACUUUUGCAAGACUUCUCUUCUUAAUAAACCCACGAGCUGAAACACAUAAACCAAACAUCUGCUGCUGUGUCCUGCAUCAGGAAUCACAAUCCUUCAGCUGAGCCUCUCGGAAAUAAUGUCAAUCCACUGCACAAUUGGUACACUUGUGGCAAUACUUCAACAAGAAGGACACAGCAAACUAUGAACCAAUUUGGCACAUAGAAUAUCAUCUACCUUCACAGCAGCAUACGUAUACUGCUAAGAUCUCAGUUGCUGAAUUUUACCUGAAGAAGAGUGAUAAGCAAUAGAUUUUCUUAAAAUUUAGGUCUUCUAUGAUUAUAAAUACUUUUAGAGUGACUAAAUAUUUAUGCCAUGUUUGUUCAUAAAGAAUUUAUAUGCAGAAACAAAAUCACUAUUAACAGAAGCUCAUGAGUACCAACCCACUUCUUCUCACUCCCACAUAACGAAAAAUCUUUUCACAGUUGACAUGGAUAUAGAUCAUUAUGAACUACCAUCAAAUAGCAAGUAUAAAACAUUCCUUAUGAAACAGCGUAUCUAGUAUAUCAAAGUACUGUUAAGUUAAAAAUGCCCAGUUUUCUUCAAGAACUGGACACUUUAUUCUUAAUACAAAAAUGGAACUGAAGUUGAGAAUAUUUAUUAAAGGAAUGAAACACCAUUCUGUCCUUCACAAACCUUUCUUUUCCAUAACUCAGAAAAUAAGUGUUCAUGUAUAACACAUAUGCAAAAAGACCACUGAAGGAAACUGAAGUUUACAGACUUACACAUGACAAUCUAGACACUACAUUUAAAAGAUGUAAAAAUUACCCCAUUCAUCUCCAGCAAACGAUCCAUCUUCUUUCUGCAAGCUCUGUAUAUAUUCAACAAUUUUAUUUACAUCAACUAUAUGAAGACUAUCAUAUAAGAUAAGAAUCUAGGGGGGAAAAAAGAACACAGUAACAAUCAAAGAGAAGCCAAAAUCUAAACCCCCUAUUUCUUUGAA